This 201-nucleotide ribosomal RNA is filed under the name Crustomastix stigmatica. RNAcentral's name for it is "partial Bacterial large subunit ribosomal RNA". It matches the Rfam family "Bacterial large subunit ribosomal RNA", at positions 2448 to 2648 of the family's 2925-position model. The record is from RNAcentral. Lineage: Eukaryota; Viridiplantae; Chlorophyta; Mamiellophyceae; Dolichomastigales; Crustomastigaceae.
CGCAACGGAUCAAAGGUACGCCAAGGAUAACAGGCUAAUACUCCCCAAGAGUCCAUAUCGACGGGAGGGUUUGGCACCUCGAUGUCGACUUGUCAUCACCUGGGGGUGGAGAAGCUCCCAAGGGUUCGGCUGUUCGCCGAUGAAAAUGGCACAUGAGUUGGGUUUAGAACGACGUGAGUCAGUUCGGUUCCUAUCUGCUGU